CGCCUGGUAGCGGGGGGUAACUAUUGGAAACGAUAGCUAAUACCGCAUAGCAGUAGAUAUCGCAUGAUAGCUGCUUGAAAGGUGCAAUUGCACCACUACCAGAUGGACCUGCGUUGUAUUAGCUAGUUGGUGAGGUAACGGCUCACCAAGGCAACGAUACAUAGCCGACCUGAGAGGGUGAUCGGCCACACUGGGACUGAGACACGGCCCAG
Molecule: ribosomal RNA, 212 nt
Filed under: uncultured bacterium
Lineage: Bacteria
Description: partial 16S ribosomal RNA
Rfam family: Bacterial small subunit ribosomal RNA
Source: RNAcentral